Long non-coding RNA from Engraulis encrasicolus (European anchovy), 761 nucleotides. RefSeq lists it as uncharacterized. The record is from RefSeq and is a predicted model, not a curated record. Lineage: Eukaryota; Metazoa; Chordata; Actinopteri; Clupeiformes; Engraulidae. The transcript has 3 exons.
CUGAAGGUUGCAUAUACCUCUAUUGCUUACCCAUUUUUAUUAAAACAUUGUUUUUAAUUGUUUAUUUCAUGGGCGAACUUGUUGAGAUUCGCAGACAGCAGAUGAGGAAUAAAUUGCUGAUCGGCGGCCCUUGUACGGAGGUUGUCACACACAGCCAACGAAACCACAUGGGCAACAUGGAAGAGCAAUUGCCAAAGCUUUUGGGCCUUUGCCUGGAUUUCAUCACACAGCAGCAAUAGGUCUCUAGGACUCUGGUUAGGUAGCCUGUAUACACUUUAUUUCUGGAAGGUGAUGUGGGUGUCAUGUUACUUCAGCAAGCAGCACAACGCAUACAGUUCAUAACAUUUCAUCCAGGCAAGUUUUUCUCAUUUUCAUUUAGGGAGCUGCCAAUCCCAAUAGUGGUAACACAAGUGCAGAGAUUUCAUGUAGACUAUUGAACUCAACUAAAGGGGUCACUAGUAACAUAAUAAUAACAGCAAUAGCAACACCACACGCACAAAUAAAUUGAAUAAUAGUUGUGAUUCCAAAUGACCUAUUCUUGAUGAAGGCACAAUCUCUACAUUUCUUUGCUGUACAGGAAAAAUCAGGCAUACUGCAUAUCGGCAGUUGGUGAGAUGGCGUGGGAGUUCGUAGGCUAUGUUUGGGUUCCACUGCAAUCCUGUGCCGUCACAAAGAUCUGGCAGAUCUUUAAAUCCACACAUCGUACAGGUUUCCAGGAUGUGAUUUAUUUGUGGCAAAUAAAAGACAGUACACCUGAAUCA